UGGGGAAUAUUGCACAAUGGGCGAAAGCUUGAUGCAGCGACGCCGCGUGAGGGAUGACGGCCUUCGGGUUGUAAACCUCUUUCAGCAGGGACGAAGCGCAAGUGACGGUACCUGCAGAAGAAGCACCGGCUAACUACGUGCCAGCAGCCGCGGUAAUACGUAGGGUGCAAGCGUUGUCCGGAAUUACUGGGCGUAAAGAGUUCGUAGGCGGUUUGUCGCGUCGUUUGUGAAAACCAGCAGCUCAACUGCUGGCUUGCAGGCGAUACGGGCAGACUUGAGUACUGCAGGGGAGACUGGAAUUCCUGGUGUAGCGGUGAAAUGCGCAGAUAUCAGGAGGAACACCGGUGGCGAAGGCGGGUCUCUGGGCAGUAACUGACGCUGAGGAACGAAAGCGUGGGUAGCGAACAGG
RNAcentral lists this ribosomal RNA (409 nucleotides) under bacterium. Its description in RNAcentral is "partial 16S ribosomal RNA". It matches the Rfam family "Bacterial small subunit ribosomal RNA", at positions 355 to 776 of the family's 1533-position model. The record is from RNAcentral.